GCGAGGGUGGCCGAGUCUGGAAAAGGCGGCGGACUCAAGAUCCGCUCUCGUAGGAGUCCGUGGGUUCAAAUCCCUCCCCUCGCA
This is a transfer RNA of Haloquadratum walsbyi DSM 16790, 84 nucleotides long. It matches the Rfam family "tRNA". From Rfam's summary of the family: Transfer RNA (tRNA) molecules are approximately 80 nucleotides in length. The record is from Rfam. NCBI's taxonomy places the organism in Archaea, Methanobacteriati, Methanobacteriota, Halobacteria, Halobacteriales, Haloferacaceae.